UGGUAUUUAAUCUCUUUUAAUGUAAUGUAACAAAGAAAAACAACAAUCUUCCAAUAAAUACAAACACAGAAGAUGGCGACUUCUGACCGGGAGAGGAAGAGAAUGACGGUGAGAGCAGUUAGACAGGAAAUAGCAAGGUUGGCGUUGUGCGUCUCGAUUUUUUUUUAAACUAAUCUGUGUCUGCGGCUAAAAAUGGAACAGUAAGGUCAUAGAAAAUCCCAACAGCUUUGUGUAACAUUAAAAGUAGCAUAUGGUUGUACCACAAAACAAAGCUUUUGACACGACCUGGCAGAACAUGGGAGUAGCGCACCUGAAUGACACUACAUGUCCGAUUUAAUUUUGUAUCGACUGUUAAUUUGGUCACCUAUUGACCCUGCUGUUAGAACCAGCGCUUUUGCUGCCAUGUGAGAACGUUACCCUACGGUACAAAAAAGCAUUUGGUCUCUAACAACAGCCUAUCAGAGUGAGACUGAAUCAAAUCUCCUUCCGUAUCCUCUAUUCGGUUCUCAUGAUUGAUGGCGGUGUGUUUCAGAUUAGGACACUGGCUGAGGCGCCGGUAGAGGCCCAGCACUGGACCCCGAACCGACUAACCAGAGUGGCAACCUGGUGUGGUGAAAUAAUGGCCUCGGUUUCAGUAGCUAAAUGCUAACCGUAGUGGCACCUAGUGUGGUGAUAUAAUGGCCUUGGUUUCACCGUAGUGGCACCUGGGUGUGGUAAAAUAAUGGCCUUGGUUUUCAGUAGCUGCAUGCUACCAAGAUCAAAACAGGCAAUUGUGUGAAAUGAAAGUUGGCAAGAUGAAUAAUCUCUUCCACCAUUCUACCUGAACUCUGAAGAGACAGAUAGAUAGAUAUCCCUUUGGUCACAGAUUGAAAAGGUGGCAGUUUUGAGGCAAAGAUGCUGACUUCUUAAGCAUAUAACAAGGCCGAAGGACUACGGUUGCUAUGGUUACUAUGUUAUAAGUUACUAUGGUUACUAUAAGUAACUAUGGUUACUUAUGAAUGAACUACAGAAAGUAAGAAUGUGCCCAAUCUGAAGACUAUAGCAACACAUGAGAAUACUCAAUGGAGUGUUACAACUCAAGAGCGAGAGAAGGCUGCGUGUCUGUGUGUGUGUGUGUGUGUGUGUGUGUGUGUGUGUGUGUGUAUGUGUGUGUGUGUCUCUGUGUCUGUGUGACAGUUGCCAUAUAAGGAGUGCAAGAUAGGGCAGAGACCAAUUCUAGGAACCAUAGUGUAGGGUUCCACAUCUUGUGAAAGUUUCAGAAGGUUUUAUAUAACAUUAUUUUGGUCUUUCAAAAAUGUCCAGUAUGGUAUCAAAGGCAUCAGUGUGAAGACUGAUGUUCACGGCCUCCACGUCUUACUGAAGGCCUUCACCACAGGGUCGUACUGAAGGCCUUCACAGGGUCUGACUGAAGGCCUUCACAGGGUCUGACUGAAGACCUUCACAGGGUCUGAC
Clupea harengus (Atlantic herring) is the source of this 1452-nucleotide long non-coding RNA. The record is from Ensembl. Lineage: Eukaryota; Metazoa; Chordata; Actinopteri; Clupeiformes; Clupeidae.